UGGACAAAUACCCCAACGUAUGACCAGAUUACUAACUAUACACUUUAUCUAUAAAGGGGUCCUAUAUUGCCCCCCGAAACUUUUAAAAAUGGAAUAAACACACCCUUAGGUGCUGAGGUGGCACAGAGAGUGUGCUCACUCUCUUGGAGGCAUGUGAGAGAUCUAUUUGGGCUCCCUUUUUCUCAUAAGAGUUUCAUAAGGUCAGAUCCUGACCUUAUUUAAUUGGGCUUAUUUCCCCAGGAGAGUGACGAGAGACACUGAGACGAAGGCGGUGUUGCUGAAAUUCCAGCGAGAUCUGAUGUCUCCGGAUUCCGGUUGAUCAGCGGCGGCAGCGAACGAAAAAUAAAGAAGAGGGAGAGAGAGACAGCUGUCCGCCAAUUCUUCGAGAAUUUGUAUCUUUUUUUGCGAUACCCCUGCAAUAAAACUAUUUUUUUUUUUAAAUGGUUAGCUUGACUUCUGCUGAUCUGAACUCAUCUGCUGCACGUUUUCUGAAAGAGUCUUAGAAUUCUUUUACUAGCAUUUUGAAACAAUCAAUGAACAGCCUAAUUUUUUAGGCAAA
Lycium barbarum (goji berry) is the source of this 559-nucleotide long non-coding RNA. RefSeq lists it as uncharacterized. The transcript is spliced from 2 exons. The record is from RefSeq and is a predicted model, not a curated record. Lineage: Eukaryota; Viridiplantae; Streptophyta; Magnoliopsida; Solanales; Solanaceae.